RNAcentral lists this unclassified non-coding RNA (253 nucleotides) under uncultured Planctomycetia bacterium. RNAcentral describes it as "contains 16S-23S intergenic spacer region". It matches the Rfam family "Bacterial small subunit ribosomal RNA", at positions 524 to 776 of the family's 1533-position model. The record is from RNAcentral. Lineage: Bacteria; Pseudomonadati; Planctomycetota; Planctomycetia.
GACGAACCGUGCGGACGUUAUUCGGAAUCACUGGGCCUAAAGGGCGCGUAGACGGGUCGGCGCAUCGGACGCUGAAAUCCCCCGGCUCAACCGGGGGCGGGCGCCGAGAUGGCCGAUCUCGAGCGGAGGAGAGGGGCCUGGAACCCACGGUGGAGCGGUGAAAUGCGUUGAGAUCGUGGGGAACACCGGAGGCGAAGGCGAGGUCCUGGACUCCUGCUGACGUUGAGGCGCGAGAGCCAGGGGAGCGAACGGG